RNAcentral lists this ribosomal RNA (497 nucleotides) under uncultured bacterium. RNAcentral describes it as "partial 16S ribosomal RNA". It matches the Rfam family "Bacterial small subunit ribosomal RNA", at positions 28 to 507 of the family's 1533-position model. The record is from RNAcentral.
GAUGAACGCUGGCGGCGUGCCUAAUACAUGCAAGUCGAGCGAACGGACGAGAAGCUUGCUUCUCUGAUGUUAGCGGCGGACGGGUGAGUAACACGUGGAUAACCUACCUAUAAGACUGGGAUAACUUCGGGAAACCGGAGCUAAUACCGGAUGAUAUUUUGUACCGCAUGGUUCAAAAGUGAAAGACGGUCUUGCUGUCACUUAUAGAUGGAUCCGCGCUGCAUUAGCUAGUUGGUAAGGUAACGGCUUACCAAGGCAACGAUGCAUAGCCGACCUGAGAGGGUGAUAGGCCACACUGGAACUGAGACACGGUCCAGACUCCUAAGGGAGGCAGCAGUAGGGAAUCUUCCGCAAUGGGCGAAAGCCUGACGGAGCAACGCCGCGUGAGUGAUGAAGGUCUUCGGAUCGUAAAACUCUGUUAUUAGGGAAGAACAUAUGUGUAAGUAACUGUGCACAUCUUGACGGUACCUAAUCAGAAAGCAACGGCUAACUACGUG